RNAcentral lists this ribosomal RNA (305 nucleotides) under uncultured bacterium. Its description in RNAcentral is "bacterial SSU rRNA". It matches the Rfam family "Bacterial small subunit ribosomal RNA", at positions 333 to 657 of the family's 1533-position model. The record is from RNAcentral.
GAACCUACGGGAGGCAGCAGUGAGGGAUAUUGCACAAUGGGGGAAACCCUGAUGCAGCGACGCCGCGUGAGUGAAGAAGUAUCUCGGUAUGUAAAGCUCUAUCAGCAGGAAAGAUAAUGACGGUACCUGACUAAGAAGCCCCGGCUAACUACGUGCCAGCAGCCGCGGUAAUACGUAGGGGGCAAGCGUUAUCCGGAUUCACUGGGUGUAAAGGGAGCGUAGACGGCGAGACAAGUCUGGAGUGAAAGGCCGGGGCCCAACCCCGGGACGGCUCUGGAAACUGCCUGGCUGGAGUACAGGAGAGG